AAUGCGUAGAGAUCUGGAGGAAUACCGGUGGCGAAGGCGGCCCCCUGGACAAAGACUGACGCUCAGGUGCGAAAGCGUGGGGAGCAAACAGGAUUAGAUACCCUGGUAGUCCACGCCGUAAACGAUGUCUACUUGGAGGUUGUGCCCUUGAGGCGUGGCUUCCGGAGCUAACGCGUUAAGUAGACCGCCUGGGGAGUACGGCCGCAAGGUUAAAACUCAAAUGAAUUGACGGGGGCCCGCACAAGCGGUGGAGCAUGUGGUUUAAUUCGAUGCAACGCGAAGAACCUUACCUGGUCUUGACAUCCACGGAAGUUUUCAGAGAUGAGAAUGUGCCUUCGGGAACCGUGAGACAGGUGCUGCAUGGCUGUCGUCAGCUCGUGUUGUGAAAUGUUGGGUUAAGUCCCGCAACGAGCGCAACCCUUAUCCUUUGUUGCCAGCGGUCCGGCCGGGAACUCAAAGGAGACUGCCAGUGAUAAACUGGAGGAAGGUGGGGAUGACGUCAAGUCAUCAUGGCCCUUACGACCAGGGCUACACACGUGCUACAAUGGCGCAUACAAAGAGAAGCGACCUCGCGAGAGCAAGCGGACCUCAUAAAGUGCGUCGUAGUCCGGAUUGGAGUCUGCAACUCGACUCCAUGAAGUCGGAAUCGCUAGUAAUCGUGGAUCAGAAUGCCACGGUGAAUACGUUCCCGGGCCUUGUACACACCGCCCGUCACACCAUGGGAGUGGGUUGCAAAAGAAGUAGGUAGCUUAACCUUCGGGAGGGCGCUUACCACUUUGUGAUUCAUGACUGGGGUGAAGUCGUAACAAGGUAACCGUAGGGGAACCUGCGGUUGGAUCACCUCCUUACCUUAAAGAAGC
RNAcentral lists this ribosomal RNA (860 nucleotides) under Salmonella enterica. RNAcentral's name for it is "bacterial SSU rRNA". It matches the Rfam family "Bacterial small subunit ribosomal RNA", at positions 685 to 1533 of the family's 1533-position model. Lineage: Bacteria; Pseudomonadati; Pseudomonadota; Gammaproteobacteria; Enterobacterales; Enterobacteriaceae. The record is from RNAcentral. RNAcentral also lists the same sequence under 6 other names.